Salmo salar (Atlantic salmon) is the source of this 54-nucleotide non-coding RNA. The record is from Rfam. Lineage: Eukaryota; Metazoa; Chordata; Actinopteri; Salmoniformes; Salmonidae.
GACUGUACUAACUGUAAGUUGCUCUGGAUAAGAGCGUCUGCUAAAUGACUAAAA